UAAUCUAAAAAAGAAAACAAAUAAGCAAACAAGAGGCGAUUGAGCAUCCGCGCAAAGGGGAGGGACCUGGGGCGCAAUUAGCUCUUUCAAACAAAGAAGCGCGGACCCGGCCUAUCCAUCGGGUUAACACGCGGAUCCCUCUCCCUUUGAAACUACGCCGUUUCACUUUUGACAAAGUCAGGUUAAAGAAAACCCUAAAACUAGUUGUAUACCAUUCAAAGGCAGAUCAGAAUGAUAAAAAAAAAACUAAAGCCUAGCCUCCUAUUCAUUCGGCCAAACUCUUUCCUUUCGCCUGCCGUCCGACCUUCAUACUUGAUCAACGGUCAUCAUACAAAAGGCCUAAUCCAGCUCCGUUCGACCGUGAGUCCAAAGGUUCUUUUAGAAGUCUCUGAAUCCCCCCCCCAAAAAAAACUCCGAUUGCGACGAAGUGAGCGAGGAUUCGAGGGAACCAAGAACGGAGGUAAGCCUUUUUUGUUGUUUUUUAUACACCAAAUACAAAAGACAGAAACCAGGAAAGAAAGAUCCCCGAAUCGAGGAAGAAGAAGAACUAAAAAGGUACGAGACGUGCUGGCGUUCGGGUACGAUAGCUGGCGUACGGGUGCACGCAUGACUACUGAAACGCUGGAGCGUACUGAGGCGUGGAGGCUGAAUGGUUGCGGCGCACGGAGAGAGCCUUAGGGUUUCGUUUGGCCGAUCCUAGAUCUAGGUUUUGGGCCAUCUGGCCAUGUAUUUUUCUGGGUUAGGGAUUAGGCUGAUGAGUAUUGGGCUAAAGUCUGUAAAUAGACAUUUAAUGGACUAUUUGUGUUUUAAAA
Molecule: long non-coding RNA, 812 nt
Organism: Gossypium arboreum
Lineage: Eukaryota; Viridiplantae; Streptophyta; Magnoliopsida; Malvales; Malvaceae
Exons: 2
Source: RefSeq, a predicted model, not a curated record